This 466-nucleotide ribosomal RNA is filed under the name uncultured bacterium. RNAcentral describes it as "partial 16S ribosomal RNA". It matches the Rfam family "Bacterial small subunit ribosomal RNA", at positions 28 to 505 of the family's 1533-position model. The record is from RNAcentral.
GACGAACGCUGGCGGCGUGCUUAACACAUGCAAGUCGAACGGAAAGGCCCUGCUUUUGUGGGGUGCUCGAGUGGCGAACGGGUGAGUAACACGUGAGUAACCUGCCCUUGACUUUGGGAUAACUUCAGGAAACUGGGGCUAAUACCGGAUAGGAGCUCCUGCUGCAUGGUGGGGGUUGGAAAGUUUCGGCGGUUGGGGAUGGACUCGCGGCUUAUCAGCUUGUUGGUGGGGUAGUGGCUUACCAAGGCUUUGACGGGUAGCCGGCCUGAGAGGGUGACCGGCCACAUUGGGGCUGAGAUACGGCCCAGACUCCUACGGGAGGCAGCAGUGGGGAAUAUUGCACAAUGGGCGGAAGCCUGAUGCAGCAACGCCGCGUGCGGGAUGACGGCCUUCGGGUUGUAAACCGCUUUCGCCUGUGACGAAGCGUGAGUGACGGUAAUGGGUAAAGAAGCACCGGCUAACUACG